GGCCAUGUAUAGUGGUACAUGACUAUAGGGUCUGUUGCUGGAGAGGAUGAGGUUGGUGAAUCACUGGGUUUCAAGAGUUCUGAACUGCGAUAAACCUAAAGCUGCCUGGGUGUCUAUACUAAGUCCAUCACUACUAUGAUGAACUUCUGGAAGUAGAGGACCACCAGGCUGCCUAAGGAGAAACCAACUGGCCCAGGUCAAAAAAUGGAGCAGGUUAAAGCUUCCAUGCCAGUCAGUAUUGUGAUCAGGCUCAUGAGUGACUGUUAUACUUCCAACUUUGGUAAAAUAAAGAGAACUAGUAUUA
RNAcentral lists this non-coding RNA (304 nucleotides) under Phascolarctos cinereus (koala). The record is from RNAcentral. Lineage: Eukaryota; Metazoa; Chordata; Mammalia; Diprotodontia; Phascolarctidae.